Molecule: transfer RNA, 72 nt
Filed under: Camelus bactrianus (Bactrian camel)
Lineage: Eukaryota; Metazoa; Chordata; Mammalia; Artiodactyla; Camelidae
Also listed under: 2 other names
Rfam family: tRNA
About the family: Transfer RNA (tRNA) molecules are approximately 80 nucleotides in length. Their secondary structure includes four short double-helical elements and three loops (D, anti-codon, and T loops). Further hydrogen bonds mediate the characteristic L-shaped molecular structure. tRNAs have two regions of fundamental functional importance: the anti-codon, which is responsible for specific mRNA codon recognition, and the 3' end, to which the tRNAs corresponding amino acid is attached (by aminoacyl-tRNA synthetases). tRNAs cope with the degeneracy of the genetic code in two manners: having more than one tRNA (with a specific anti-codon) for a particular amino acid; and 'wobble' base-pairing, i.e. permitting non-standard base-pairing at the 3rd anti-codon position.
Source: Rfam by way of RNAcentral
GAGGGUAUAGCUCAGUGGUAGAGUGUGUGCUUAGCAUGCAUGUGGUCCUGGGUUCAAUCCCCAGAACCUCCA